Molecule: ribosomal RNA, 627 nt
Filed under: unidentified microorganism
Description: bacterial SSU rRNA
Rfam family: Bacterial small subunit ribosomal RNA
Source: RNAcentral
ACACAUGCAGUCGAACGGUGAAGCAGAGCUUGCUCUGUGGAUCAGUGGCGAACGGGUGAGUAACACGUGAGCAACCUACCCCUGACUCUGGGAUAAGCGCUGGAAACGGCGUCUAAUACUGGAUAUGUGACUCGACCGCAUGGUCUGUGUCUGGAAAGAAUUUCGGUUGGGGAUGGGCUCGCGGCCUAUCAGCUUGUUGGUGAGGUAAUGGCUCACCAAGGCGUCGACGGGUAGCCGGCCUGAGAGGGUGACCGGCCACACUGGGACUGAGACACGGCCCAGACUCCUACGGGAGGCAGCAGUGGGGAAUAUUGCACAAUGGGCGCAAGCCUGAUGCAGCAACGCCGCGUGAGGGAUGACGGCCUUCGGGUUGUAAACCUCUUUUAGCAGGGAAGAAGCGAAAGUGACGGUACCUGCAGAAAAAGCGCCGGCUAACUACGUGCCAGCAGCCGCGGUAAUACGUAGGGCGCAAGCGUUAUCCGGAAUUAUUGGGCGUAAAGAGCUCGUAGGCGGUUUGUCGCGUCUGCUGUGAAAUCCGGAGGCUCAACCUCCGGCCUGCAGUGGGUACGGGCAGACUAGAGUGCGGUAGGGGAGAUUGGAAUUCCUGGUGUAGCGGUGGAAUGCGCA